Molecule: non-coding RNA, 89 nt
Filed under: Sus scrofa (pig)
Lineage: Eukaryota; Metazoa; Chordata; Mammalia; Artiodactyla; Suidae
Source: RNAcentral
CGCAGGGCUCGGGUCGGCUGCCUCCUGGUCUCGGCUUCCCGGAGCGCGGGCUGAGCACCGAGGCUCCUGAGUCCGAAACGAGACUCGCC